AACGAACGCUGGCGGCAGGCCUAACACAUGCAAGUCGAGCGAGCAUUUCGGUGCUAGCGGCGGACGGGUGAGUAACGCGUGGGAACGUGCCCUUUUCUGCGGAAUAGUCCUGGGAAACUGGGGGUAAUACCGCAUACGCCCUUUUGGGGAAAGAUUUAUCGGAGAAGGAUCGGCCCGCGUUGGAUUAGGUAGUUGGUGGGGUAAUGGCCCACCAAGCCGACGAUCCAUAGCUGGUUUGAGAGGAUGAUCAGCCACACUGGGACUGAGACACGGCCCAGACUCCUACGGGAGGCAGCAGUGGGGAAUCUUAGACAAUGGGGGCAACCCUGAUCUAGCCAUGCCGCGGGAGUGAUGAAGGCCUUAGGGUUGUAAAGCUCUUUCAGCUGGGAAGAUAAUGACGGGACCAGCAGAAGAAGCCCCGGCUAACUCCGU
Molecule: ribosomal RNA, 432 nt
Filed under: uncultured bacterium
Lineage: Bacteria
Description: partial 16S ribosomal RNA
Rfam family: Bacterial small subunit ribosomal RNA
Source: RNAcentral